Molecule: long non-coding RNA, 2934 nt
Organism: Macaca mulatta (Rhesus monkey)
Lineage: Eukaryota; Metazoa; Chordata; Mammalia; Primates; Cercopithecidae
Source: Ensembl
CUGUUUGUAUGAAAUUUGUUAAAAUGAUUUGGAGACGGUUUCCCUAAACAGUUUUGCCAGUCAUUUUAUUCCACAAGUUUUGCAGUUUUCUCUAGCAUAGAGAGGCAGUUCUGAAAUAUUUUUUUGGAUGAUGUAUAUGAUAGACACAUUUGGAAACAGAAUUUUCUCUUUUUUCUUUUUACUAAUGCAAGCUUUACUAUACUUACAGUUUCCACCUGAAGAACUUAGUAAACUGACAUAUGGACCAAAAAAUUUUUAUUGGAGGGUUUGUGAUUCCAAAAUGGAUCAAAUGGAUGGGCCCCGUGAGGGUGAACACUGCAGAGUCAGAGGCAUAAAAUGUCAUAAAUACCCUCAAAAUAUGGUUUGAGCCUCCAACUUGAGGAGUUACAAGAAACAUAACUUAGAAAGAGACAGAUGCUGCUACAAAGAGACCAAUCAACAACUGCUCAGCAGAGAUACAGAUCUGAAGCACAGAAGUGCAAUAGACACUCCUCAUGCCUUCGCCAGGAGCAUGGAAUUCUUCCCAGAGUCACAGAAGAUGGCACAGCCUGGGGACAAUCGGGAAUCACCUGGAGGAUGGCAGAAAGGAUUUAAGGCAGCUCAUAAAUAUGUGCGAGACCUAUUACUCCUACGCAUGUGGCCAUUCAAGCGUUUUGAUGAUUGUACAUUUUAAAGCUAAAUGCAAAGACCUCUUUAUAAUUAGUUUGUGUGUGCUUCUGAGGGAAGUUACGGUAAUCAUUACUUUUGUUGUUAUUAUUUCAUUGUAUCUAAUGAACAAUGGUAAUAAAUCCCGUGGGAACCAACCAUAGUAUAACAUAUAUAUUUUGAAAACCGUUAGAUAUAAAAAUUCUAAUUGACUUGGAGAAGUUUCAUUCAUUUCAUUUUUAUUUAGUAGGAUAUUUCAUUGUCCUUGGCUUAAGCCUUUCUUUGCUUUAGAUGAGGUUAAGGAAAGACAAAAAUCUAACUGUGAUAAACACAGUCUGAAUUUCAUUAUUAACACUUUCAUAUAAAGACAGAUUAAUAGCCAAAGUAGAUGCUGGUCAUAAUGAAUGACUUUUGAUUCACUGUUUUCCUGAGUUAUUUUUACUUUGGUAGGCAUGUUAUUUUGGCUUAAAAAUAAAGUGCUAUUAGUAAUCAAGGAUGUGAGUUCAUAAAGAGUAAGUUAAAUUUUAAACCAUGGUUUAUUUGAGAUUUUGCUUUGUCUGGGAAAGGAUUUAAACCUCAGCAAGAAUGAUUUAGGGGUUAGAAAAACAAAUCUUUGAUAGGGAGAGUGUAACAUGUUGGAAUGGGUUGUCUUCUCAAUGUUUUUUAAUGAUUUGGCAGGCAUCUUGUCAAAUGAGCUGGGGUUUUAUUGAAUCUGAUAAUGGUAAUAUUAGGCUCCAAAUGAGUUUGACAGGGUGCCCAAAUGGCUGGAUCUCACAGGAUAAAGUUUAAUACAAAUAAGCGAUAAACACAUAGCCCAUUACCUGGAUUCAGAAAAGCAACUGGAAAAAUAGUUUACAUUGAAAAACAAUGAAAAACAGUGGGCUAGGGCUUUUAAAUAACAGUGAGUUCAAUAUAAGUCAAGAGAGUGGUGGGAUGCUAUAAGUCUAAUAGGAUUUAGAAUCAAUUUUGGAGCAAGCUUGCCAGACUGAGGAAGAUAUAACCCCAAAUCUACAUUCCAUAGUGGGCAAAACUUUUUUUUUUAAAAAAUACUGACUUUAUAUCUAGAUACCACACCUUAAAAGCAUACUUUUAAAAACAAAAAAAUGUACUUGAUGAGAAGAUAUAAAACCAUGUCAAAAACAAAACAGGAAGGAAAACUACAGGAAUAGAAGAUGUUUUACCCAGAGAAAAGAAGAGCUUCAUUGUUAAAGAGGAAAAGGUUUAUUCUCUCUGAUGUUGAAUUUCUUUUCUUUUUUUUUUUUAUUAUUACACUUUAAGUUCUAGGGUACAUGUGCAUAAUGUGCAGGUUUGUUACAUAUGUAUACUUGUGCCAUGUUGGUGUGCUGCACCCAUCAACUCGUCAGCACCCAUCAACUCGUCAUUUACAUCAGGUAUAACUCCCAAUGCAAUCCCUCCCCCCUCCCCCCUCCUCCCUCCCCAUGAUAGGCCCCAGUGUGUGAUGUUCCCCUUCCCGAGUCCAAGUGAUCUCCCUGUUCAGUUCCCACCUAUGAGUGAGAACAUGCAGUGUUUGGUUUUCUGGUCUUGCGAUAGUUUGCUGAGAAUGAUGGUUUCCAGCUGCAUCCAUGUCCCUACAAAGGAAACAAACUCAUCCUUUUUUAUAGCUGCAUAGUAUUCCAUGGUGUAUAUGUGCCACAUUUUCUUAAUCCAGUCUGUCACUGAUGGACAUUUGGGUUGAUUCCAAGUCUUUGCUAUUGUGAAUAGUGCCGCAAUGAACAUACAUGUGCAUGUGUCUUUAUAGCAGCAUGAUUUAUAAUCCUUUGGGUAUAUACCCAGUAAUGGGAUGGCUGGGUCAUAUGGUACUUCUAGUUCUAGAUCCUUGAGGAAUCGCCAUACUAUUUUCCAUAAUGGUUGAACUAGUUUACAAUCCCACCAACAGUGUAAAAGUGUUCCUAUUUCUCCACAUACUCUCCAGCACCUGUUUCCUGACUUUUUAAUGAUUGCCGUUCUAACUGAUGUGAGAUGGUAUCUCAUUGUGGUUUUGAUUUGCAUUUCUCUGAUGGCCAGUGAUGAUGAGCAUUUUUUCAUUUGUCUGUUGGCUGUAUGCAUGUCUUCUUUUGAGAAAUGUCUGUUCAUAUACCUUGCCCACUUUUUGAUGGGGUUGUUUGUUUUUUUUCUUGUAAAUUUGUUUGAGUUCUUUGUAAGUUCUGGAUAUUAGCCCUUUGUCAGAUAAGUAUAUUGCAAAAAUUUUCUCCCAUUCUAUAGGUUGCCUGUUCACUCUGAUGGUAGUCUCUUUUGCUGUGCAGAAGCUCUUUAGUUUAAUUAGAUCCC